RNAcentral lists this transfer RNA (25 nucleotides) under Callisaurus draconoides rhodostictus. RNAcentral's name for it is "partial tRNA-Lys". Lineage: Eukaryota; Metazoa; Chordata; Lepidosauria; Squamata; Phrynosomatidae. The record is from RNAcentral.
ANGGAAAUUACAUGCCCCUCAAUGA